Molecule: ribosomal RNA, 253 nt
Filed under: uncultured bacterium
Lineage: Bacteria
Description: partial 16S ribosomal RNA
Rfam family: Bacterial small subunit ribosomal RNA
Source: RNAcentral
UACGUAGGGUGCAAGCGUUGUCCGGAAUUAUUGGGCGUAAAGAGCUCGUAGGCGGUCUGUUGCGUCGGCUGUGAAAACCCGGGGCUCAACUCCGGGCCUGCAGCCGAUACGGGCAGACUAGAGUUCGGCAGGGGAGACUGGAAUUCCUGGUGUAGCGGUGAAAUGCGCAGAUAUCAGGAGGAACACCGGUGGCGAAGGCGGGUCUCUGGGCCGAUACUGACGCUGAGGAGCGAAAGCGUGGGUAGCAAACAGG